UCCUUUCUCUGCAUCUGUUACACCGGACUGUAUAUGUAUAUAUAAGCUGUACAUGUAUAGCUAUAUUUACUUCCUGCUCGAAGAUCAGGAUGGCCGGCUCUCUCGUAUGCAGAAGCGAAGGAAGGUUGCGGUGACGAGUGGCGAAACUCCCUGGACGUAAUUACAAGGCGGAUGCAAUGAGAGAGUCGGAGGAGGGGAGAUUCGGAAGUGGACGAAGGACUGUAAAAAACGAAAAUAAAAAAUAAGCGGAAGCAGUGGAAGAAGCAAAACAUACGAGAACGACUAUCUUCGAGAACCAACCUGCGUUGCCUUCGG
This is a long non-coding RNA of Cephus cinctus (wheat stem sawfly), 315 nucleotides long. RefSeq lists it as uncharacterized. Lineage: Eukaryota; Metazoa; Arthropoda; Insecta; Hymenoptera; Cephidae. The record is from RefSeq and is a predicted model, not a curated record. The transcript is spliced from 3 exons.